GUGUCAGCAGCCGCGGUAAUACGAAGGGGGCUAGCGUUGUUCGGAAUCACUGGGCGUAAAGCGUACGUAGGCGGAUGCUUAAGUCAGGGGUGAAAGCCUGGAGCUCAACUCCAGAACUGCCUUUGAUACUGAGCAUCUUGAGUCCGGGAGAGGUGAGUGGAACUGCUAGUGUAGAGGUGAAAUUCGUAGAUAUUAGCAAGAACACCAGUGGCGAAGGCGGCUCACUGGCCCGGUACUGACGCUGAGGUACGAAAGCGUGGGGAGCAAACAGGAUUAGAUACCCUGGUAGUCCACGCCGUAAACGAUGGAAGCCAGCCGUUGGCCAGCAUGCUGGUCGGUGGCGCAGCUAACGCAUUAAGCUUCCCGCCUGGGGAGUACGGUCGCAAGAUUAAA
Molecule: ribosomal RNA, 393 nt
Filed under: uncultured bacterium
Lineage: Bacteria
Description: bacterial SSU rRNA
Rfam family: Bacterial small subunit ribosomal RNA
Source: RNAcentral